This 2462-nucleotide long non-coding RNA is filed under the name Homo sapiens (human). RNAcentral's name for it is "non-protein coding lnc-FARP1-2:1". Lineage: Eukaryota; Metazoa; Chordata; Mammalia; Primates; Hominidae. The record is from RNAcentral.
UGGGGAACAGGUGGUGUUUGGUUUAGUGGUGAUUUCUGUGAUUUUGGUGCACCCAUUACGGGAGCAGUGUACACUGUACCCAUUGUGUAGUCUUUUAUCCCUCACUCCCCUCCCACCCUUUCCCCUGAGUCCCCAAAGUCCGUUGUAUCAUUCUUACACCUUUGCAUCCUCAUAGCUCAGCUCCCACUUAUGAGUUGAGAAUAUAACUGGUUAUUUCUAUGGGGAAAAAAAUUCCAACUCUAGACAGCUUAUUAAAAAAACAGGCCGGGCGCGGUGGCUCACACCUGCAAUCUCAGCACUUUGGGAGGCCGAGGCAGGUGGAUCACGAGGUCAGGAGAUCAAGACCAUCCUGGCUAACACUGUGAAACCCCGUCCCUACUAAAAAAUGCAAAAAAUUAGCCGGGCGUGGUGGCGGGCGCCUGUAGUCCCAGCUUCUCGGGAGGCCGAGGCAGGAGAAUGGCGUGACCCGGGAGGCAGAGCUUGCAGUGAGCCGAGAUACCGCCACUGCACUGCAGCCUGGGCAACAGAGCAAGACUCUGUCUCAAAAAUAAUAAUAAUAAUAAUAAUAAUUUGGGGUCUACUCAAGACCUGAAUAUUACCUUGCACGCUGGAACUAGUUAAAAAAGUUAAGGGCUAAAUAUUACAGAUAUAUUUUACAAGUAAUGCUUAAUAGUAGAUAAUUUUCUAAGACUGAAUCACAAACCAUUGAUGUAAACAUUGCCAAAUUGGCAAAUGCGAAAACAAUUUUUUGACCAAUCAGAUACACCAUAAAUGAACUGAAAAAAUAAGCCACAAACUGGAAGAAAAUAAUUACAGUGCACACAAUCAACAGUUUUGUUAUCUAGAGAAUACACAAAGGCUGAGAAGAGGAAAUUCAUUGCUUUUUUCUUCUUUAAGAUGGGGUCUUGCUCUGUCAUCCAGGCUAGAGUGCAGUGACAUGAUCUCAGCUCACUGCAGCCUCCCAAGUAGCUGGGACUACAGGCACGCACUACCACACCUGGCUAAUUUUUGUGUUUUUUGGUAGAGAUAGGGUUUUACCAUGUUGCCCAGGCUGGUCUUGAACUCCUGGGCUCAAGGGAUCCUCCCACCUAAGCCUCCCGAAGUGCUGGGAUAACAGGUGUGCACCAGCAGGCCCAGUCAGGAAAUUCGUAAAAGAGGGAUCUGAAAUAGCUAAUGAACCCUGCUAAGUCUCAAUAAAAACAAGUGUAAUUGUGGAAUACAAGUUGUCCAGAAGUUUGACAGUAUCAAUUGUUAAUAAAAGAUGUGGAACUGAGAGGACGCUUAUUCCACCCCCUGGGCAACAGAGCAAGACUCCAUCUCAAAAAAAAUAAAAAGCUGAAAUUAUUCUCCUGAAAGACUUGGAGUCAGUAUAAACUACUAGGUUAAUAAAAGUAAAAAUUAAAGAUUUUUGGCUUUAGAAUAUAUAUGCAUUUUUGAGACUUAAUCCCAUUGUUAAAAAUGACUGAUUUCUGGCUUUAAUACUGUCUUGAAGUAUAUGAAAGUAAUCUUUCACUGGAAAUCACCUGAUAACGGCUGAAGAGAAGACCAGGGCUAGGUCGAAUUUCCUUUUUGGUUCAGUUACUGUAAUGUGCUGCUACCUGUCCUUUCAUUUGCCCUGCAAAUGGCACUUAAAUUUAUACAGUUUAAGAAACUUUGUUUUCUAAACUAGAUGAAUAAGAUUUUCUCAUUUGUGAAACAGCAUAAAUAUAUUUUCAGGGUGAGAUUUUUUUAAGUCUAAAAACCUGUUCUGAAGAUAAUUUAUAGUUUCAUUUUUAUAGUAUUGUCUUUACAUAGUAAAGAUAAUGCACAUGAAAUACACUACUGAUCCUCCAGUUCUAAGCCAGGAUAAGUCCAAAUGCUUUUAUGCCCACAUUCCUUUGGCUUUCAGAGAAGACAAUAGAAUUGAGUUUCACAUAGCUAUGCAUAGUUUUUGGCAGUGCAGUUUGCACCCCUUUAAGGGUGAAUAAACUCACAGUGGGGAAGAUUAUACAUUCUCUGCACCCUUUUCAGUUUUCUAUGUUCUGUUCAUUGAUAGGUUUGAAGACUGUAUUUCUAGGAAAUGAAAUACAUGAGGCUCUUUCAAUACUGCUUUUACUGGAGUGUUGAAAGUGUCAGAAGCUAUUUCUGAGAACAGUUUUUAGCCAGUAGCGGGUGGGGGUGGUCUUGAAAAAUAAGAUUCAGGCUGGGCACAGUGGCUCACGCCUGUAAUCUUAGCAUUUUGGGAGGCCCAGGCGGGCGCAUCACAAAGUCAGGAGAUCAAGACAAUCCUGGCUAACAUGGUGAAACCCCGUCUCUACUAAAACUACAAAAAAAUUAGCCAGGCGUGGUGGCGGGCACCUGUAGUCCCAGCUACUCGGGAGGCUGAGGUAGGAGAAUAGCAUGAAGCUGGGAGGCGGAGCUUGCAGUGAGCCGAGAUCGUGCCACUGCGCUCCAGCCUGGGUGACAGAGCGAGACUCUGUCUC